GUGGGGAGCAACAGGAUUAGAUACCUGGUAGUCCACGCUGUAAACGAUGUCGAUUUGGAGGUUGUUCCCUUGAGGAGUGGCUUCCGGAGCUAACGCGUUAAAUCGACCGCCCGGGGAGUACGGCCGCAAGGUUAAAACUCAAAUGAAUUGACGGGGGCCCGCACAAGCGGUGGAGCAUGUGGUUUAAUUCGAUGCAACGCGAAGAACCUUACCUACUCUUGACAUCCAGAGAAUUUAGCAGAGAUGCUUUAGUGCCUUCGGGAACUCUGAGACAGGUGCUGCAUGGCUGUCGUCAGCUCGUGUUGUGAAAUGUUGGGUUAAGUCCCGCAACGAGCGCAACCCUUAUCCUUUGUUGCCAGCACGUUAUGGUGGGAACUCAAAGGAGACUGCCGGUGAUAAACCGGAGGAAGGUGGGGAUGACGUCAAGUCAUCAUGGCCCUUACGAGUAGGGCUACACACGUGCUACAAUGGCGUAUACAAAGAGAAGCGACCUCGCGAGAGCAAGCGGAACUCAUAAAGUACGUCGUAGUCCGGAUUGGAGUCUGCAACUCGACUCCAUGAAGUCGGAAUCGCUAGUAAUCGUAGAUCAGAAUGCUACGGUGAAUACGUUCCCGGGCCUUGUACACACCGCCCGUCACACCAUGGGAGUGGGUUGCAAAAGAAGUAGGUAGCUUAACCUUCGGGAGGGCGCUUACCACUUUGUGAUUCAUGACUGGGGUGAAGUCGUAACAAGGUAACCA
RNAcentral lists this ribosomal RNA (740 nucleotides) under uncultured Providencia sp. Its description in RNAcentral is "bacterial SSU rRNA". It matches the Rfam family "Bacterial small subunit ribosomal RNA", at positions 761 to 1502 of the family's 1533-position model. Lineage: Bacteria; Pseudomonadati; Pseudomonadota; Gammaproteobacteria; Enterobacterales; Morganellaceae. The record is from RNAcentral.